This 84-nucleotide transfer RNA is filed under the name Schleiferia thermophila. RNAcentral's name for it is "tRNA-Leu". RNAcentral also lists the same sequence under 4 other names. The record is from RNAcentral. Lineage: Bacteria; Pseudomonadati; Bacteroidota; Flavobacteriia; Flavobacteriales; Schleiferiaceae.
GCCCAGGUGUUGAAAUUGGUAGCCAAGCCACUUUGAGGGGGUGGUGCCCGUUCGGGCGUGCUGGUUCGAGUCCAGUCCUGGGCA